GAAAAGAAAGAUGUUAUAGAUUGGAUAAAUGCAAGCCUAAUUCAUAAGAGUUGGUAUAUUUUGGCCAGGAAUACACGUAAACCUAAAGGCUCAUGAGAGAAAUUGAGAAGCCUAUAAUAGGUGAUGAUCCAGUUGUAAGGCAAAUUCAACAUACUUUGGAAUAAAAAAAUCAUACUUUAGUGAGGAGUAAAUUAAUAGCAUAAACUCUCAAACAAGUAAAGACUUACCAAGAAGAGUCUUGGGCUAUGUAAUCUACCUUA
Molecule: long non-coding RNA, 260 nt
Filed under: Glycine max (soybean)
Lineage: Eukaryota; Viridiplantae; Streptophyta; Magnoliopsida; Fabales; Fabaceae
Description: long non-coding RNA (GMAX_LNC002599)
Source: RNAcentral